This is a long non-coding RNA of Ostrinia nubilalis (European corn borer), 2778 nucleotides long. RefSeq lists it as uncharacterized. NCBI's taxonomy places the organism in Eukaryota, Metazoa, Arthropoda, Insecta, Lepidoptera, Crambidae. The record is from RefSeq and is a predicted model, not a curated record. The transcript has 2 exons.
AUGAUCCACACGGGCGAGAAGCCGCACAAGUGCGCCGUGUGCGGGCAGGCCUUCAUACAGAAGUGCGCGCUCAACCGCCACAUGAAGGUUGGUUGUAUGGUACACUGCUACUAACUAUAGGUCAGGACCUGCGCAACCACCGCAUGAUCCACACGGGCGAGAAGCCGCACAAGUGCGCCGUGUGCGGGCAGGCCUUCAUACAGAAGUGCGCGCUCAACCGCCACAUGAAGGUUGGUUGUAUGGUACACUGCUACUAACUAUAGGUCAGGACCUGCGCAACCACCGCAUGAUCCACACGGGCGAGAAGCCGCACAAGUGCGCCGUGUGCGGGCAGGCCUUCAUACAGAAGUGCGCGCUCAACCGCCACAUGAAGGUUGGUUGUAUGGUACACUGCUACUAACUAUAGGUCAGGACCUGCGCAACCACCGCAUGAUCCACACGGGCGAGAAGCCGCACAAGUGCGCCGUGUGCGGGCAGGCCUUCAUACAGAAGUGCGCGCUCAACCGCCACAUGAAGGUUGGUUGUAUGGUACACCGCUACUAACUAUAGGUCAGGACCUGCGCAACCACCGCAUGAUCCACACGGGCGAGAAGCCGCACAAGUGCGCCGUGUGCGGGCAGGCCUUCAUACAGAAGUGCGCGCUCAACCGCCACAUGAAGGUUGGUUGUAUGGUACACUGCUACUAACUAUAGGUCAGGACCUGCGCAACCACCGCAUGAUCCACACGGGCGAGAAGCCGCACAAGUGCGCCGUGUGCGGGCAGGCCUUCAUACAGAAGUGCGCGCUCAACCGCCACAUGAAGGGCCACCGCGCUGAGCCACGCCUGCCGUUGCCGCACGCCUACCCCGACCGUCUGCCGUGGCCACUGGACGACCGUCUGGCCAACUAGCGCCACCCAGCGGCCACCGCCACUGUGCCGUCCUCAAACUGAGGCCACAGUGACUCGGCUGCACCGCAAAUUAGCGCCAAUGCGCCGCUGUCACUAGUGACAUAGCUGCCACUACCACUGCUAUUGUUGAACGAUUUUGAAACGUCAAAUGGCAGAGAUCGAAAAUAGUAACCCGGCAUUGAUGGCAGCGCCCUCCUGCAAAUAACAUUUCAGUGUUUUCCAACGUAGCAAAAAUCCAGCGGCCACCGCCACUGUGCCGUCCUCAAACUAAGGCCACAGUGGCACGGCUGCACCGCAAACUAGCGCUACUGCGCCGCUGUCAAACUGAAGCUAUAACCAGUGACAUGGCUGCCACACCCACUGCUAUAGUUGAACGAUUUUGAAACGUCAAAUGGCAAAGAUCGGAAAUAGUAAUCCGGCAUUGAUGGCAGCGCCCUCCUGCAAAUAACAUUUCAGUGUUUUCCAACGUAGCAAAAAUCCAGCGGCCACCGCCACUGUGCCGUCCUCAAACUGAGGAUCACAGUGGCACGGCUGCACCGCAAACUAGCGCUAAUGCGCCGCUGUCAAACUGAAGCUGUCACUAGUGACACGGUUGCCACACCCACUGCUAUAGUUGAACGAUUUUGAAACGUCAAAUGGCAAAGAUCGGAAAUAGUAACCAGGCAUAGAUGGCAGCGCCCUCCUGCAAAUAACAUUUCAGUGUUUUCCUACGUGGCAAAAAUCGGAACCAGCGAUCCGGUAUUGACGGUGGCGCCCCCCUGUCAAUGUCACGGGUGAGACGGUUCAGUGUAGUUCAUCUAUACGACCGACGAUUGCGUCUUCAAACUGGGAGCCUAUAAGCUGCUGCACGCCUGUCCUGGCGCUGGAUGAAGCCCUGGCCAACUAGCGCCACCCAGCGGCACGGCGUCAAACUGAAGCUGUCACCAGCGAUAUGGUUGCCACGCCCAGUGAAGCGCGCGAACGUUUUCAAACUAAGAACCUGAGCACAUUUAAUGCCACACGCCUAUUCAGACUGCCUGCUCUGGAAGCUAGACGAACAACUUGCCACUAAGUGUCACCCAACGUAAGAAUCUUCUACAGUCGGCGACUGCUUUGCCAACUAGUCGGUAAACUGAAGUUACAAUAAAAGAUGUGGGUUCUAGGCGGGAGAAUACGUGGCGUGGUGAGUACAGUAUCGCGUUCAAAACACAUUUAGGUCACUCCUUAUGUAGUCGCAUUUUCCAGAUAAGAUUUUGGACGUUUGUACUCGUAUAAGAAAAGGACUUGAUUAAGAAUUUAACAUUAUUCGUUCGUUAUCGUAUCGCUAUCAUGCUCAGGGAUGACUAUAGUCACACCCGCUCUAUUCUUGUACUUAUAGAUCACGCUAAUAGUUUAUGAACGGCUUAAGGAAGCUAAGAAUAAAGAUUUUUAUGUGAAGUGUGGUGUUUUGUACAUUCGAUAAUAUGUAUGAUACACAUGUGACGAUGCAAAGGGGGCUUUAGGGAUACUUUUUAAAUUUCAUAAGAUUAUUAUGAGCAAUUUUCCAACAAAUCUCGGAAGGACUGGAGUCCAUUAGAUUAGAUUGUAUAAGUGUUUGUUAUGUAGUAUUGUAUUAAGAUAAGAGAAUUUAUUAUAUUCAUCUUAAUGGUUAUCAGUUUGUGAGUCUUUUGCAUGGGCAUCUGUCUGCUUCAUUAGAAAGUACAGCAACAUUACAAACUUUUUCUAGUGAUGUUGCUGCCUUAUUUUAUUGGGCAAAUAUUGGGUUUAUGUAAAAACUUCCACUUUUCUGGACUGAUUUUUUAAAAUAAGAUCUUUCAAUUAACUUCUGUGAUAAAUGUGAAACAUGGCUCUCAGCCACCUCAUAUUUAGUUCUAAUUUAACUGUAAAUAAAUUUCACUUUAUGCUACAAA